GACGAACGCUGGCGGCGUGCUUAACACAUGCAAGUCGAACGGAAAGACCCUGCUUUUGUGGGGUGCUCGAGAGCCGAACGCGUGAGUGACACGUGAGUAAAAUGCCCUUAACUUUGGGAUAUCUUCAGGAAAAUCGGGCUAUUACCGGAUAGGAUAUCUUGCUGCAUGGUGUGGGAUGGAAAGUUUCGGCGGUUGUGGAUGGACUAGAGGCUUAUCAGCUUCAUGGGGUGGUAGUUGAUUACCAAGUUUUUGAAGGGUAGGCGGCCUGAGAGGGUGACCAGCCACAAGGGGACUGAGAGACGGCGCAGACGCCUACGGUAGGCAACAGGGGGGAAUAUGGCACAGUGGGCGGAAGUCUGAUGUGGCAACGCCGCGUGCGGGAUGACGGCCUUCGAGUUGUAAACCGCUUUGGCAUGUGACGAGGAGGUAGUGACGGUAAUGGGUAAGGAAGCACCGGCUAACUACGUG
This 468-nucleotide ribosomal RNA is filed under the name uncultured bacterium. RNAcentral describes it as "partial 16S ribosomal RNA". It matches the Rfam family "Bacterial small subunit ribosomal RNA", at positions 28 to 507 of the family's 1533-position model. The record is from RNAcentral.